GUUAGUGGAAUAAAUGGUUAAAAAUUCAAAGGGUCAUAAUCUUUAGAAUCUGCUGGCCAACGAAUCAUCUUUUUGGUAGGAUAAAGAGAUUGAGGAAAGAGAGAUUGGAGCCAAACUAUGAGAGUCAUAAGUCGAGAGCCAGACUGUAAGAGUCGUAAGCCAAUGGCUAGACUGUGAGAGUCAUAAGCCGAGAGCCAGACUAUGAGAGUCAUAAUUCUGUGUGAUGAAUUAAAAAACUGAAUACAAUAGGUAAGCUGAAGAUCAAUAAUUGAAUAUAUAUAAACCACAAAGAGAAUAAGUGGGAGAUGAACGGAUAAGAAUAUGGAAAUAUUGUUGAAU
RNAcentral lists this long non-coding RNA (339 nucleotides) under Physcomitrium patens. RNAcentral's name for it is "long non-coding RNA (PPAT_LNC002017)". Lineage: Eukaryota; Viridiplantae; Streptophyta; Bryopsida; Funariales; Funariaceae. The record is from RNAcentral.